ACUUAAAUUGAAGAGUUUGAUCAUGGCUCAGAUUGAACGCUGGCGGCAGGCCUAACACAUGCAAGUCGAGCGGUAGCACAGAGAGCUUGCUCUCGGGUGACGAGCGGCGGACGGGUGAGUAAUGUCUGGGAAACUGCCUGAUGGAGGGGGAUAACUACUGGAAACGGUAGCUAAUACCGCAUAACGUCGCAAGACCAAAGUGGGGGACCUUCGGGCCUCAUGCCAUCAGAUGUGCCCAGAUGGGAUUAGCUAGUAGGUGGGGUAACGGCUCACCUAGGCGACGAUCCCUAGCUGGUCUGAGAGGAUGACCAGCCACACUGGAACUGAGACACGGUCCA
RNAcentral lists this ribosomal RNA (338 nucleotides) under Klebsiella pneumoniae. RNAcentral's name for it is "bacterial SSU rRNA". It matches the Rfam family "Bacterial small subunit ribosomal RNA", at positions 1 to 333 of the family's 1533-position model. The record is from RNAcentral. Lineage: Bacteria; Pseudomonadati; Pseudomonadota; Gammaproteobacteria; Enterobacterales; Enterobacteriaceae.